UUUAAUUUUAAGUUGAUUUUUUAUUAAUUAUUGUAUUUUAUAAAAAAUAAUUUAUUGUAUUAGUAAUUUUUAUUGAAUAUAUUAGAGGUUCUAUAGUUAAUUUUACUGUGAAGGAUAUUUAUUAUUAUCUUAUAAGUUCUUUUUAUUUAGGGUACCUUUUGUAUCAGGGUUUAUUAAUUUUUAAUAAAAAUUUAUUUUUCCCGAAUUUUGAAGAGUUAAUUUUUUAUGAUGUUAAUUGUAUUAUAAAUUUUUUUAAUAAAUUGUUGGACGAUAAAUUUGAGCCAUUUCAUUAUAUCUGGUUAUCUGAGAAUUAAAUUUAAUUUAGUUUAUUUUUGAUAGUUAUGUAUUUAAUUUUUAAUAUUAGAAAUAUAUACUCGGAGAAGGGAUAAGCUUUCUUUGUUUUCUAUAAAUUUUAUUUAUAUAUUUUGUGUAGAUUUAGAAUUGAUCAUCAUUAAUAAUGUUAUAAUAUAUUUUAUGCUAAUAUUGAUUUUUUUUAUUUUAGAAUUUUAUUAGAUUAUUUUAAUAUAAUUAUUUUAUUUAAUUUAUUAUGAUAAAAUUAGUAAAUAUGAUAAUUUAAAAUUAUGAACUCGGCAAUUAUCUCUUUCACCUGUUUAUCAAAAACAUGGCCUAUUGAUUUAUAUUUUAGGUCUGGCCUGCCCACUGAUUUUUAAAUGGCCGCGGUAUUUUGACCGUGCAAAGGUAGCAUAAUCAUUUGUCUCUUAAUUGGAGGCUGGUAUGAAUGGUUUGAUGAGAAGAGGUCUUUAUUAUUUUAAUUUAUUGAAUUUAAUUUUUGAGUCAAAAAGCUUAAAUUUAUUUAUGGGACGAGAAGACCCUAUAGAACUUUACUUAUUAUAUUUAUUAAUUAUUUUGGGUUUUAAUUUUAUUAAUAAUUAUCAUAAGUUGGAUUGGGGCGAUUUUGAGGAAGAUUUAACCCUCAAAUAUUUAUUUCAUUAAUUUUUGUUAUUUUGAUCCAUUAUUGUUGAUUAUUAGAUUAAGUUACCUUAGGGAUAACAGCGUAAUUUAUUUAGAGAGUUCAUAUCGAUAAAUAAGGUUGCGACCUCGAUGUUGAAUUAAGAUUACUUAAGGGUGCAGAAUUUCUUAAAGUAGGUCUGUUCGACCUUUAAAUUCUUACAUGAUUUGAGUUCAAACCGGCGUGAGCCAGGUUGGUUUCUAUCUUUAAUUAUUUAUUUCAUCUUAGUACGAGAGGAUUAGAUGAUUGAUAUACUAUUUUAUAAGUUGUUUACAAUU
This 1248-nucleotide ribosomal RNA is filed under the name Micronecta sahlbergii. RNAcentral describes it as "16S ribosomal RNA". The stretch from base 819 to 1176 matches the Rfam family "Archaeal large subunit ribosomal RNA", at positions 2154 to 2712 of the family's 2987-position model. Lineage: Eukaryota; Metazoa; Arthropoda; Insecta; Hemiptera; Micronectidae. The record is from RNAcentral.